CACAUUUACUGACAGAGACACACUCAGUGACAGACAUACAUACACACUCACAAAACAUACACUUUCACUGACAAACACACACUAACAGACAUCAGACACACUCAGUAACAGACACACCCAAUAAGACACACUAACACACACACACUAACACAUCAUUUUUUUUUUUUUAAAUGUAAUCUCCCAGCCUCCUUACCUUUUGGAGUGCUGGGGGGAUUCCCUGGGGUCCAGUGGUGGUGCUGCUGGGCUCCUGGGUGGGCAUCUGACGUCAUCUUCCAGCUCUGGUAUCAGUGCGGUGCGCGAGGGAGCUGAAGAGGAAGCACUCAGGGGAGAGUGCUCCCUCGCGCGCCGGCCACCCAGACAGCCAGCCCACCGGGGUCAGCAGGGCCAGCCUAGG
Pelobates cultripes (western spadefoot toad) is the source of this 394-nucleotide non-coding RNA. The record is from the annotation of a GenBank genome assembly. Lineage: Eukaryota; Metazoa; Chordata; Amphibia; Anura; Pelobatidae.